This 465-nucleotide long non-coding RNA is filed under the name Populus trichocarpa (black cottonwood). Its description in RNAcentral is "long non-coding RNA (PTRI_LNC000276)". The record is from RNAcentral. Lineage: Eukaryota; Viridiplantae; Streptophyta; Magnoliopsida; Malpighiales; Salicaceae.
UUUUAUUUUAUCUUUUAUUAGGUUAUUCUAUUCACAUGAUCCGGCUCAAGAGGCUUGACGGCCUUACCAGGGUUUGGUGGUAUUUUAAUUUUUAUGUUUUUUUUUAAUUUUUUUUCAAUUCUAUCCUUUCAUAUUUGAAUUGUUGGAAAUUAGGUAUCAUUAUUUUUUUUUGGUUUAAGUUAUUUUUUUUAAUUUAUUCUUUAACAUUGGAUUGUUUUAGAAUUGAGCUUCGUAAUUGUUUUUUGUUAAACUUUUUUUUUGCACGUCAUUGUUAUUAUUAUUUUUAAAAAAAUUAGUGCAAUUACUUCUUUUUUUUAUCUUCUGAUUAUAUGAAACCAUUUUAUCAUAUCUUAUUAUAUCUCGUAGGACCUAUAACUCAAUUUACAAUUUUUUUUUAAGCAUACCAGCAACAUCCAAAUAUCAUUUUUCAAGCUAAGAAAAUAUUUAGCCUGGCUCGAGACGAAG